Molecule: ribosomal RNA, 294 nt
Filed under: Triticum aestivum (bread wheat)
Lineage: Eukaryota; Viridiplantae; Streptophyta; Magnoliopsida; Poales; Poaceae
Description: partial small subunit ribosomal RNA
Source: RNAcentral
UUUCAGAGAUUGCUUGAUAUCAUUCGAUCUAGGCUUGCUUCGUAGCGUGCUGCCUUGCUCAUUCUGAGUGGUCGUCUCAUCCUUGUUCAGUCGGUCCUUACCGCUAUUGCAAUCUUUCAUUUGCUCUCUCUCGACCCGCCGAAUUGGGUUCUCAAAGCCAUUGACAAGGUCCGUCGAGCUUUCCUAUGGAAAGGUUCUGAAGUCGUCGUUGGUGGUCACUGCCUGUUAAGUGGGAUACAGUAUGUAGCCCGAAGGAAGUCGGAGGCCUCGGCAUCUCUUGUCUUACAACCAUGA